UACGUAGGUGGCAAGCGUUGUCCGGAUUUACUGGGCGUAAAGAGCGCGCAGGCGGUCGUUCAAGUCGAGUGUGAAAGCCCCCGGCUCAACUGGGGAGGGUCACUCGAUACUGAUCGACUCGAAGGCAGAAGAGGGAAGCGGAAUUCCCGGUGUAGUGGUGAAAUGCGUAGAUAUCGGGAGGAACACCAGUGGCGAAGGCGGCUCACUGGCCCGGUACUGACGCUGAGGUGCGAAAGCGUGGGGAGCAAACAGG
This 253-nucleotide ribosomal RNA is filed under the name uncultured bacterium. RNAcentral's name for it is "partial 16S ribosomal RNA". It matches the Rfam family "Bacterial small subunit ribosomal RNA", at positions 524 to 776 of the family's 1533-position model. The record is from RNAcentral.